GAUGAACGCUGGCGGCGUGCUUAACACAUGCAAGUCGAACGGGAAAUAUUUCAUUGAGACUUCGGUGGAUUUGAUUUAUUUCUAGUGGCGGACGGGUAAGUAACGCGUGGGUAACCUGCCUUAUACAGGGGGAUAACAGUCAGAAAUGGCUGCUAAUACCGCAUAAGCGCACAGAGCUGCAUGGCUCAGUGUGAAAAACUCCGGUGGUAUAAGAUGGACCCGCGUUGGAUUAGCUAGUUGGUGGGGUAACGGCCCACCAAGGCGACGAUCCAUAGCCGGCCUGAGAGGGUGAACGGCCACAUUGGGACUGAGACACGGCCCAGACUCCUACGGGAGGCAGCAGUGGGGAAUAGUGCACAAUGGGGGAAACCCUGAUGCAGCGACGCCGCGUGAAGGAAGAAGUAUCUCGGUAUGUAAACUUCUAUCAGCAGGGAAGAUAGUGACGGUACCUGACUAAGAAGCCCCGGCUAACUACGUG
RNAcentral lists this ribosomal RNA (478 nucleotides) under uncultured bacterium. Its description in RNAcentral is "partial 16S ribosomal RNA". It matches the Rfam family "Bacterial small subunit ribosomal RNA", at positions 28 to 507 of the family's 1533-position model. The record is from RNAcentral.